CGAAUGGGGAGAUUCAUCGUCAGCUCAUUUUGUAUAUGUAUAAGUUAUGAUGCGGGUUACUACUUGUAGUAUUGCCUGCACAUUCUUGUAUAUUUAGUUGCAAGAUGUUGUCGGCGUGCACUUCUCCCCUAGUAGGACGUCGCGACCUGUUGGGUGUCGGUCUACGGCCCAAGUGAUAGCCUUUAAUGUAAUUUAAAAAACAUUGAAGACCCUUGGUGUUUUCUGACCGGCUACUUGCCAGUAUUCGUACGGUAUUUAGCCGCUAAAUUUAUUAAGCGUCCAUAUCCAUCCCAAGCGAGGCUAAUUUACUGAUAGUACGGACCUAGUGCCGUCGUUGGUAUUGGCCAGCUGUUGGUUGAUGGUAUUCUAGGAC
RNAcentral lists this ribosomal RNA (373 nucleotides) under Aleiodes sp. HD-203. RNAcentral's name for it is "eukaryotic LSU rRNA". Lineage: Eukaryota; Metazoa; Arthropoda; Insecta; Hymenoptera; Braconidae. The record is from RNAcentral.